UUUAUUAAAGUUUUUAAAACAUUAAAUUGCAAAUUUAAAAUUAUAUAAUUAUAUUAUAUUAAUAAUU
This 67-nucleotide transfer RNA is filed under the name Eucera floralia. RNAcentral's name for it is "tRNA-Cys". The record is from RNAcentral. Lineage: Eukaryota; Metazoa; Arthropoda; Insecta; Hymenoptera; Apidae.